This 117-nucleotide ribosomal RNA is filed under the name Bryobacterales bacterium. The record is from RNAcentral. Lineage: Bacteria; Pseudomonadati; Acidobacteriota; Terriglobia; Bryobacterales.
UCGGGUGGCCAUAGCGAGGAGGCCACACCCGUUCUCAUCCCGAACACGGCAGUUAAGCUCCUCAGCCCCGAUGGUACUGCGUUGGCAACGGCGUGGGAGAGUAGGACGCUGCCCGAU